This 253-nucleotide ribosomal RNA is filed under the name uncultured bacterium. RNAcentral describes it as "partial 16S ribosomal RNA". It matches the Rfam family "Bacterial small subunit ribosomal RNA", at positions 524 to 776 of the family's 1533-position model. The record is from RNAcentral.
UACGUAGGGUGCAAGCGUUAAUCGGAAUUACUGGGCGUAAAGCGUGCGCAGGCGGUUUUGUAAGUCUGUCGUGAAAGCCCCGGGCUCAACCUGGGAAUUGCGAUGGAGACUGCAAGGCUUGAAUCUGGCAGAGGGGGGUAGAAUUCCUGGUGUAGCAGUGAAAUGCGUAGAUAUCAGGAGGAAUACCGAUGGCGAAGGCAGGUCUCUGGGCUGACACUGACGCUCAUGCACGAAAGCGUGGGGAGCAAACAGG